Saimiri boliviensis boliviensis (Bolivian squirrel monkey) is the source of this 514-nucleotide non-coding RNA. The record is from RefSeq and is a predicted model, not a curated record. NCBI's taxonomy places the organism in Eukaryota, Metazoa, Chordata, Mammalia, Primates, Cebidae.
AUGGGCAGGGGGCGGCGCGUGGGUCGCAAGUCUGCAGUUAGGGGCGCAGGAGCGGCGCUGCUCACCUCUGGUGCCAAAGGGCGGCGCAGCGGCUGCCGAGCUCGGCAGUGGAGGCGGCGAGAAAAUGGUGCGCAGGUUCUUGGUGACCCUCCGGAUUCGGCGCUCGUGCGGCCCUCCGCGAGUGAGAGUUUUCGAGGUUCACAUCCCGCGGCUCGCGGGGGAGUGGGCAGCGCCAGGGGCACCCUCCGCUGUGGCCCUCGUGCUGAUGCUACUGAGGAGCCAGCGUCUAGGGCAGCAGCCGCAUCCUAGAAGACCAGCCAGAGCUGGCCGCCUCUGCAGACACGCUGAGGGUGCAAGGGACCCGGACCCCAAAGAGCGCCUGAGGACAAGAGAUGAGAUGCUCGCUGCUCUUCCUCCGCUCCUCACCCCUACCAUCCUCCUCCUCGACCCUAAGUUCCCCACUCUCUCAGUUCCUAGAGAUGCUGCGGAUCCCAGAGGCUUAACUGGCAGCUGA